CGGGCAGUAGUUCAGUGGAAGAACAGCGGUCUUAUAUACCGCCGGUCGUAGGUUCGAUCCCUACCUGCCCCACCA
RNAcentral lists this transfer RNA (75 nucleotides) under marine sediment metagenome. RNAcentral's name for it is "tRNA-Ile". It matches the Rfam family "tRNA". Rfam says of the family: Transfer RNA (tRNA) molecules are approximately 80 nucleotides in length. The record is from RNAcentral.